CGGAUCCAUAUUGAAACCUAGUGAUGUAUGGAUUAGUGGCGGACGGGUGAGUAACGCGUGGAUAACCUGCCGUAUACAGGGGGAUAACACUUAGAAAUAGGUGCUAAUACCGCAUAAGCGCACGGUUCCGCAUGGAACAGUGUGAAAAACUCCGGUGGUAUACGAUGGAUCCGCGUCUGAUUAGCCAGUUGGCGGGGUAACGGCCCACCAAAGCGACGAUCAGUAGCCGGCCUGAGAGGGUGAACGGCCACAUUGGGACUGAGACACGGCCCAAACUCCUACGGGAGGCAGCAGUGGGGAAUAUUGCACAAUGGGGGAAACCCUGAUGCAGCGACGCCGCGUGAGUGAAGAAGUAUUUCGGUACGUAAAGCUCUAUCAGCAGGGAAGAAAAUGACGGUACCUGACUAAGAAGCCCCGGCUAACUACGUGCCAGCAGCCGCGGUAAUACGUAGGGGGCAAGCGUUAUCCGGAUUUACUGGGUGUAAAGGGAGCGUAGACGGCAGCGCAAGUCUGGAGUGAAAUGCCGGGGCCCAACCCCGGAACUGCUUUGGAAACUGUGCAGCUCGAGUGCAGGAGAGGUAAGCGGAAUU
RNAcentral lists this ribosomal RNA (590 nucleotides) under uncultured bacterium. Its description in RNAcentral is "bacterial SSU rRNA". It matches the Rfam family "Bacterial small subunit ribosomal RNA", at positions 67 to 668 of the family's 1533-position model. The record is from RNAcentral.